Paramormyrops kingsleyae is the source of this 1541-nucleotide long non-coding RNA. RefSeq lists it as uncharacterized. The record is from RefSeq and is a predicted model, not a curated record. Lineage: Eukaryota; Metazoa; Chordata; Actinopteri; Osteoglossiformes; Mormyridae.
AACAACCACUACUGUAAUAAAACACAACUGCAUUUUAUAACAUGCAGACAAACAAACUCUACACAACAGAGCAUAUGAAGUUACCCCGUCCCUCAGUUAAAUUUUAUGCAGUUUAUGAAACGAUUCAACUUAAAAAUGUAUAAUCACACGCACAAACACAUGCACACACAAUAAAACUAUGUAAGUAGUAUAAACUUAUGCACUCCUCAGGACAAAACUGCACGUUUGCAUAAUUUCCACCCCAAUAUGAAAAAUUAUUUUUCAUAUUUUCAUAUUUUGACAGGUAAGCAUGGGAGGGAAUAUGAAAAAAACACAUGCAUUAUCUUCAGAUCCGAACCAAUCAGAAUGCAGUUUCAUUUUUCUAAACCGAUGAAACUGAAAGAAUAGAUAUCUAAGCACCUCUGCAUACUUUUUGUGUAGUAUUUACAAUGGCACAAAGUUGGUCUGUUUCUCGUAAUAAAUUCAACUUAUUUUUUGCUGUUAGCCUCUUUACUCUGCAGAAGUUACUGGAAGCAGAUUUUUUUUGUCCCUGCAUUCAAAUAUGGAAUAUAUUUUUGUCUCUGUUUUUCUUUGUCAUUCCAGGCUUAUUAUUAUGCUUUCUCUUUGUAAAAAAGCUGGAAUGCACCUGUUAUCGUGCACUGAAAACCCUUUUUCCAGCAUUGGCUUGGUUAACUUUGCUGCUGCUUGAUGGAAAAUAUUUUUCAUGCAUAUUGACUAACUGGGAAGGAGAAUAUGUCCCUAUGGACACUAAUACUAUGCAAAUGUGGUGCAAACCACAUGAUACAAAUAAAACAUCAAAUGAAGAAAAGAUGAAUAAGACUAUAAAGUACUACGCAUGGUCUCAGACCUCAGCCUUUUUCAGUCUUGUUCUCAUUAUGGUGGGAGUAUUAAUCUGGAAGAAACGAGAGUGCUGCAAAGACAAGAAUCAGUCCGACACCAGUGAAAUGGGUCCUCUCACAGAUAAACAAAAAGUGGAAGAAACUAUUGUUAACAUCAUAAACUCGCUGAAUGAGAAGUACACACAACAAUAAUCAACCAAUUCAACCCAAGCAUAAUUAACCAACAUUUUUUGCUAACUCGGAUGCAGCUUAUCAUUGCCUGCUGUCUUAUUUGUUUGUAUGUGGCAGAAUGCUAAAUAAAUGCAUGAUACAGAUUUUUAGUGCAACAUGAUUGAUGUUGGUGAGCAAUAAAAUAUUAAACUUGCCUUUUAAGGAGUGCAUUUGUUUUUCGUAAAGUUUAAUAUCCCUGAAAUUCUGCAGAAUUAAAAACUGUGCUGAAUCAACCUGUCUGAUCAAGGCCAGAGAGUCAUAUAUGAUAUGGUGAUCUUUCAUAUUCUCUCUUCACUCACUUAUAUAACUUAUCUUGCUUUAAGUUGUAUCUUUAUCUUCCUGACAAACAUUAGUAUUCUGAUAUUAUUUUCACAUUUACUUUUUCAAUGUAGACUAUACGUGUACUUUUUUCUCGAAUGUCUAAAAUCAUUGAAUAAAUUCAAAGCAUUCUGUUGUAUGAAAUAAAAUCUUCAAGAUCAUAUAAACACAAAA